Molecule: long non-coding RNA, 1717 nt
Filed under: Marmota monax (woodchuck)
Lineage: Eukaryota; Metazoa; Chordata; Mammalia; Rodentia; Sciuridae
Source: RNAcentral
CUCAAAGGAAAAUUUCAUGAGAUUCAACGGUAGUUUAAGUGUAAUGAAUUUAAUCCCAUUGAUUACAAGUGGUCUCUGGUGAUUACUGAUGUCCCAGCUGCCUCCUGCAGCAGGAGUAUAUAGGACUCUCCAGAUAUUCUUUCCUUUAUCUCUUAUCCUUCCUACCUUUAAGUACCCAAGGACUGCUUUUGCACAAAAUAUUUCAGUUCCCUUGAGAACUGCCCUUCUUCUGUAAUACCACAGCCUAUUUCUUUAUUUUCUGCCCAGCCAGAAAACUGCAUUCCCUUGCCCACAGUGAUUGGUUCAGGAAUGGAAACAUCUGAAGACAAGUCAAUCAAAACCUAUAUCAAAGAAGUAGUAAAGAUGAGGAGGGGUAACUUCCUGAUGACUUUAUGGUACUCCCUGGAUUCCACUCUCCCUGUCAUGACUAAUUCCAUGUUUCAGAAACACCAGUCUACCUGUUGUUGUGGGUUUUGGGGGUCUUUUUGUUUCUUUUUUUUAUUGUGUCUGAUGCUUAUUUUUACAUAUGAUUACAUUUGUCUGUAGACUUUGGGUAAAGCAGAUUACUCUCCAUAAUGUGGGAGGCCCUCAUUUAAUCAGUUGAAGGCCUUAAGUUCAAAGACUGAAGUUUCCCAGAGUACUACAGAGUACAAUAUAGAACCUUGAUUGAGCCUAAUGCCCUGCAUAAUUUGGACUCAAGACUGUAACAUCAACUGUUAAUCUGAAUUUCCAGCCUGCUGGCCCACUCUGUAAGUUGCCCUUGUAAACACAAGUGAAUUCCUUAAAAUAUCACCCCUCAUGGAUUCUGUUUCUCUGGAGAACCCCAAUUAAUGCACUGACAAUGUACUUUAUCUUUGAAUUAUCCAAUGUCUUACUUUUGUGUUUGUUUUAGCUAGCUUGAAUAAAGUUUCCACCUGAAACUAAGAGUUGAACAGUCCAGAGUAUAAAUGGAUGGAGUCCCCUAUAGGUUAAUUUUUUUAUUGGUUGUUCAAAACAUUAUAAAACUCUUGACAUAUCAUAUUUCAUACAUUACAUAUACUGCAGUGCUAGAGAUCAGAUCCAGCAUGCUAAGCACAUGCCCUGCCUCUGAGCUAUACACCAGCCCUAAGCAAACAAUUUCUAUUCUGGCACUCCAGGCUUGGAACCUACUCUAGUGAGUUCUCUUUCCUUCUCCCAUAUUUUCUAGUUAGUUUUUAACCUAUUGCUUCCUUCUCCUUGAAGAGUAAAUAAACAAGAAACAAGAAUUAGAAACAACAGAAAAAGAAAGGAAGUAGAGAAAGAGUGUUUUUAAAUAACAGUGUUAAAAAUGACACAUGCAUUGUUUUCUCUGACAUAUAGAACGAAGAUAAACACAAAAAGUAAUUUUCUCAGGUUCCAGUUGUUUUUUAUCACUCAGACAGAAUGGUGCUCCAUAGAGCAUGAGGAACAUUGUGCUAUUGCAAACUCUCUGUACCAGAGCAGGAGGAAGCCAGUGCAUCUGACUCUUGCCAAAGACAGUUCUUCCAAGGGAACCUAGGGUGGCGGGAAUGGGGUUCUUUCAGGAGGCCAGUGAUUGUGUGUAGACAACUUGCCUAAGGGACCCUGACAACAGUCCCACAUGCCAUCUCUGUCAUGCUUGCUAUAGGUCAGACACCUACUCUUUUUUUCUUUUUCUUUCCACAUUUUUUUUAUUGGUAUGUAAUAGUUGUACAUAAUAAUGGGACUGACCUCUAAUCCU